CCUACGGGUGGCAGCAGUCGAGAAUAAUGCACAAUGGGGGAAACCCUGAUGGCGCGACGCCGCGUGGGGGAAGGAAGGUCUGCGGAUUGUAAACCCCUGUCAUGUGGGAGCAAAGUAAAAAGAUAGUACCACAAGAGGAAGAGACGGCUAACGCGGUGCCAGCAGCCGCGGUAAUACAGAGGUCUCAAGCGUUGGUCGGAAUAACUGGGCGUAAAGUGUGCGUAGCCGUUUUCGUAAGUCGUGUGUUAAAGGCGCGGGCCCAACCCGCGGACGGCACAUUAUACUGCGAGCCUAGAGUAAUGGAGUGGGAACCGGACUUCUCGGUGUAUCCGU
This 333-nucleotide ribosomal RNA is filed under the name uncultured bacterium. RNAcentral describes it as "partial 16S ribosomal RNA". It matches the Rfam family "Bacterial small subunit ribosomal RNA", at positions 338 to 682 of the family's 1533-position model. The record is from RNAcentral.